UACGUAGGGUGCGAGCGUUAAUCGGAAUUACUGGGCGUAAAGCGUGCGUAGGCGGUUCGUCAAGUCUGAUGUGAAAGCCCCGGGCUCAACCUGGGAACUGCAUUGGAAACUAGCGAGCUUGAGUGUGGCAGAGGGGGGUGGAAUUCCACGUGUAGCAGUGAAAUGCGUAGAGAUGUGGAGGAACACCGAUGGCGAGGGCAGCCCCCUGGGCUAACACUGACGCUCAGGCACGAAAGCGUGGGGAGCAAACAGG
Molecule: ribosomal RNA, 253 nt
Filed under: uncultured bacterium
Lineage: Bacteria
Description: partial 16S ribosomal RNA
Rfam family: Bacterial small subunit ribosomal RNA
Source: RNAcentral